This 218-nucleotide long non-coding RNA is filed under the name Phoenix dactylifera (date palm). RNAcentral's name for it is "long non-coding RNA (PDAC_LNC018410)". The record is from RNAcentral. Lineage: Eukaryota; Viridiplantae; Streptophyta; Magnoliopsida; Arecales; Arecaceae.
CUGUCACGAUGUCGGAAGCUAUCGUUGCCCCCGCCAUGACCACCAGCUCCCCUCGUCAACGCCAAGGUGCUCUGCCGGCAAUUCUUGCUCUGAAGCUGGGGUUUCCACUUGCGCUUUGGGAUUAACAGUCAGCGUCCACAUUUUGUCGUGAAAACAAUAUAGCGGCUACGGGAGGGCGGAGAACAUCAGGUUGACCGCAGUGGGUGCGGAGCUACGGU